Molecule: long non-coding RNA, 252 nt
Filed under: Dendronephthya gigantea
Lineage: Eukaryota; Metazoa; Cnidaria; Anthozoa; Malacalcyonacea; Nephtheidae
Description: uncharacterized LOC114543500
Source: RNAcentral
AUUUUUGCAGAGAUUUUCCCUGGUCAAGAGUGCAACAUGAGUCGUGGAUAUGAACUUUACUGUCAGAUGUACAUUGAUUGAAAAGUGAACAAGAUAUCUGCACUGAGAAUGAAUGAAGUUGAAGAAAGUUAAAAGGCACCCAGAAGAACCUGAAUUAUUUUAGCCCUAUCCUAGAUUCAUUGAAUAUUUUAGUGUGUGAUAACAUGUGUGAAAUGUGAUCAAUUAUGUGACAAUUUUCAAAACUUGGAUUUA